This is a ribosomal RNA of 921 nucleotides. The stretch from base 390 to 543 matches the Rfam family "5.8S ribosomal RNA".
AUUAUCGAUGAUGAUGCACCAACUCCUUGUGAGCUGCUAUAUCAACUGUGCACUUGGUGCUCGUACGCUUUCCUUUCGGGGUUGGGCCUCUCUCUCUCUCUCUCUCUAGCUCUCUCGGGGGCGGGAGGGGGGCGAGGGCGGCUCAUUAAAUCGGAUCAAUGGCGGCCGCACGGCGCCUGGCGCGCGCGCGAGCAUCAYUUCACGGKUGCGCUGAUGCCGCGCUGGGUUUGGUAGUCGAGCGCCSUCCCGGGCCCCGUCUGGAGCUUCGGCGUGCGAGCUGUUUUCACCGCGUGUUGCUUCGGCGCGCGCAUUCUGUUUUUUAACCAAGCAAAUUUGCAGACUGAACUGUGGGCUUUUUCGAAAGCUUGUCUCUGAAUACAAUCAUGGACAACUUUCAACGGUGGAUCUCUUGGCUCGUGGAUCGAUGAAGAACGCAGCAAAACGCGAUAUGUAGUGUGAAUUGCAGAAUUCAGUGAAUCAUCGAAUCUUUGAACGCAAAUGGCGCCCCUGGGUAUUCCCAGGAGCAUGUCUGUCUCAGUGUCGUUUUCACCUCGAGCGCGCUUCGGCGCGGUGGUCUUGAGGCGUCUGAGUGGGGCGGCGCGCGCACGCUGUGCUUGCACACGCACGCGCGCAUCCGCGCUCAGUCCCUUGAAAUGCAGUGGCCGGACUCUCGAUUGCGCUGCACCGGGUCGCGACUCGCCCCGGACUGCUCGCACGGCUGAUGACGGCUUUUAGCCCGCCAACUUGUCGUGUCGCAGCGGCCGGUUUGAGUCGGAUCCAACGUGGCGUUGGGCGUCCGAACAAAGCCAGUACUGGAAGCGACUUCCGGCUCAUCUGCCUCACCGCGGAUGGACCACCUUUGACCUGAGAUCAGGCAAGACUACCCGCUGAAUUUAAGCAUAUUAAUAAGCGGAGGAAAGA